Molecule: long non-coding RNA, 4571 nt
Filed under: Elaeis guineensis (African oil palm)
Lineage: Eukaryota; Viridiplantae; Streptophyta; Magnoliopsida; Arecales; Arecaceae
Description: long non-coding RNA (EGUI_LNC015883)
Source: RNAcentral
AGAGAGAGAAGGAGAACCAGAUCCCCCAACUUUCUCUGUCUUCGACGCGUUCAAGUAAACACUCGACUCUGAUCUCCAUCCAAAAAAUCGCCAAACUGUUUCUCCUCUCUCUCUGUCUGCAGAACAGAGAAACCCAUGGAACAAUAAAAAGAAAAGAAAAAAAAUAAUAAUAAGACAGGAGAAUCAGAGCACUGAGCUUUUCUCUCUUUAACGCCUUCGAGUCUCUCUCUGAGCCAAAGCCCUCUUCUUUCUUUCUUUGCUCGCUUCGUGGUUCGCUUUAUCUUUGUGGGAAUUCGAACUCGUUUUCGGGUCGCGGUGGCAGCGGCAUGACGACUUUUCCUCCUGAGGAAAUGGGGGGAAAGAGGAAGGAUAAUGGCGGUUGCGAUACCUUUCACGACUUCUUGGGCAUGAACCGCGGGGAUCCCGUCCAGCUCGCUGCUGCGUGGGCGCAGGGCGGGGGUAAGCGGGCCGCUGCGGAGGCGGCGCCAGAGGGUGAGGCGGAGGCAUUGGCGUCCAUGGGACUCUCGUCCGGCGGGCAUGACCUUGUUUUGGGAAAUUCCAAUCUGGGUUCAGGUUAGCUGGGCUUGGUUCUUCUCUGUAUUCUUGCUGUCCUUCUAUUUCUUUUGUUUUAGGGUUUUAUGCCUGCUGUGGUUUAUUGUUGCUAUUCUUUGAGUUCGUUGUUUCGUUCUUUUUGAGUGUCUUGGAUUUUUUUUCCCCCUAAAUAUAUCCUUUCAUCUUUGGAUUUGGGCUUCUGUUGUUUUUUAUUCCUCCUGUGGUUUCUUGUUGCUUUCAUGGGAAUGGAAUUCACUUGGGGAUUCAGUUCUUCUAUCAAGACUCGUCCGGAGGCCUCCGGUGAGCCGGUGAGGUCUCCCACUCUCUCUCCUUACCUUCCUCCGCGCGUACCGACACUCGGCAAGAUCUCCCUCUCUUCCUCUCCUUCUCCCCCUCUCUUUCUUCUGCCUCUCCCUUCUCUGCCCUGUCGGUUCGCGCCGGUCCUGUCCGGUACCGAGCCGUACCGCCAGCCGACCGGCACGGGCUCCGUUACCGAGUCCGCGAACCUACUUCAGACAGCUUUCAGAGAGUUGGCUACCCCAAGUGCAGCCGUGCUUCCCCAUGCUUUGACUAUCAGUCGCAUGUGGAUAUGCAAAAUGUUGUUAUAAAGAGGUUAUGUAAGCUGCCCAUCAAUUGAAACAUUUAAUUAACGCUAAGAGAUCUUCUUGUUAUCUCUUAAUGAAUUGGUUGGAUUUGACCUAAUAUUUUUCUUGGAAAAAAAAAAAUAGAAACCUUCUUGUUAUUUCUUCUCAAAAUUCUUUACAAAUUCUAAUUUGAUUCUUCUCUUUCCAUCUAGUUAAUCAUCUAUUAUCUUAUUGAAGUCAUUCUCUAAUAUAAAUGAUGCAUCUCUCCUAUGUGAUCCUCCAGGGAGGUGGUAGCUUCUUAUAAGAUUGCCGCGUAUUUUUUGUUAUGUUAACUUUGCCACUUUCUCUUAUUUGCUGUCUUCUGCAUGAACUUUGGAUCAUUAUCUCCCUCUCUAAAUCAUAUAAUGCUGUACCAUAUCUUCAAAAGAUCCCUUUGCCAAUCAUUCUUUUUCAUCCUUGUUCAUCAAUCUUAUUGGCCUGCUUACUCCAGUUUUCCCUUUCUGCAUGCUCUCUUUUAACUCAGAUUUGCAUCCUGCUUCUAGGUUUAGUUCUAAGCAACUGAAUUUCAUUAGAAGCUAUACACCAACAGAACCAGCAAUGCUGCAUGAUGAUGGUUCCUAUGCAAUCAUCUUAAUAUGCACCUUGAGAGGUCUGCUCUGCAUCCUUUUACUCCAGUGAAAAUUUGUGUGCCCCAAAUUGUAUCAUUUAUUGCCUAAAAGGGACCAGUGAAUAUUGACCCCAAACAACCAACAUUGGAAACCUAUCUAUCCUUGUUGACCAAAGUUAGCUCUUUUGUUCGCCCAAAGAGGUGGCAAGGACUAGUCGGUGAGAUAAUUUCACAUAUGAUGUUUAAAAAGUUUCUUAUUAUCAAUGAAAACUGGUUCAAAUGCAUGUUCAGGAAAAGAAUUUGUUAGGAUAGUGAGCACUUCUAUACUAAAUUUGAUAAGGGUCAAAGUGCAGACACAAAUUAUCAAUCUUCCUUUGAAAUUUUCCAGUUGAUUUAUCCACUUUUUAAGAAAAAUUCAGUGACUACUGAGGAAAGCUUUGUUAUUUCCUAUUCUAACGUCACUCUUAUUUUGAGCAUAAUGUUAGAUCAGUAGUUUCUUGAACAAUCGUAAUGCCCUAUGUGAUGGCUUUGGGCCUUUCUAAUGCUAUGGCCAUUACAUGGUUCUUAUGUAUUCUGCAUAACAAGCAUUAUCAAACUUUUAUUGGUUUUUAAUUUAUCAACAUUAUUCAUAUUAAUUAUUUUAAUAGCAUAUGUUAGAUUCUUAAUGGCUUUGCAUCUAUGUUUUGAGGAACUAUAAUGACCAUUUUAAAUAUACAUCAUCUAACUUUUAAUCUUUUUUUUUUUUUUUUUGUUAACAUUAUUAGUAUUAAUGGUAGACUGUUGUAUAACCAUCAUUUGCUGUGUCAGGUUAUGGUAUCAUAAAAUUCUUAGAUGAGGGACCUGAAGACAGUGCAAAAACCAAAAUUGGAUCCAAUAUUUGCUUUUCUUUUCUUCAUCCUUUACUUUCUAAUUUUAAUUCUUGGCCGCUAAACAAGAAAAUACAGUGACUAGAUAUAUCAGCAUAGGCCUAAAAAUGGGGUACCCUAAACCUCCUUUGCUGAUCUUCAAUGAAGAUUAUGAGUGAUUCUGAAGCUCUUUUUACUGAGUGGUACCAAAGAUAGUGGAGCAUUCUUAAAAGAGUACCUAUGUAUUUAAAGAGAUGAAGGUGCAUCUUCCUUUUACAGGGUGUAUAUACAUCUGCCUUUUCCUGGCCAUUCUCCGCAUUUAUGGCUUUGUCAAGAAACUUAUCUUUAAUUUAACCCAGUUUCUUCUAGGACUUUCCAUUUUUCUUGUGAAGUGAUAUUCCACUUUUCUUUCCUCUUGAUAUUAACUAAAUAUCUUUUGUGCUUACCGGAACCUUUUUCAACUUCAUAGCCUAGAUUUAUUGCAUUACCAGUUAUAACCAGUUGUGUCCCAUGGAAGACAUGGUAGUAUUAGUUAGUGCGUAGUAGUGACUUUUGUUUCGGUAAUUCCCAUGAGAAUUGAGGUCAACUACGCUUAUAAUUUAACAAUGAGAGUAGGCAUAUUGGUUGAGGAGAGAGGGUGUUGGCCGUAAGGAUAGCUGCAGGGUUGGGUUAGAGGCUUAUUUACUAUAAUAAGCCGUGAGGGCAUGGUGAAAUAGGUGUGUUAAAAAUUUUUAAUGAGGAAGGUACUGCAGGAAUGAGUUUUCAAAAGAUUCCAAAACAGGUUUGGCACCCUAAGCAUAAGUCACAGAUGAAAGAUGAGGGGGUAGAUGGUGGAAGUGGAAAAAUUCUUAUGGUUGAUGAUAAUUUUGUUGGAGAGGCAAUAGGGGUGGAGGGCAUUGGCAAGGUCAAGGUGGGGGAUGAUGUUACUAUGGUCUUGGAAGGGGGAUGAGGAGGACGUGAGGAGUUCAGCAGUUAGUCAUUCUCUCUCUCUCUCUCUCUCUCUAGACUGCUAUACAGCCAUCCUCUGCUUUGCCCACUGACCAUCCGCCCCAUUACCCCAUUGGCUGUCCUAACCAAUUAAGCCAGAAGAAAACUCAAUUAUUGUGUUUGCUCACACCGACUAAAAUUUAAUGUGAAAAAUAAAAUCCAAUAGUUUAAUAUUUACCAAAGCAAGAUCUAACUAUAUACUAUUAUACAAAAAGAGCUCUUAUGGUUGGGCAUGUGAUCCAGCCCCUAGAAGUAAAGCCUCCAUCUGCACGACUUAUGUCUAAAUAUGCAUGGGCAUGUAAAGGGUUACUCCAGAAGCACACAAAGGCAGACUGCUCACUCUUUUUUCCCUUCAAAAACACAACUCCAAGAGCCUAUCUUUUCCCACUCUUCCCCCAUGUUAAUAGGCACAUGCAUAGCACCUGCAAUAUACUUGUUCCUGCGAAUCUGUGAAUUUCUCAUAGUUGAACAAAGCAUGGAAGGAAGUUAUAUAGAUGGCACUGUUAUGGCUAUUUGUUUUCUAGCAUCAAUUUGGGACUACAAUUUUCAAUUUCUUGGUUAAAGUUUAUAAAGCUCCCCCCUUUGGUUCCUGUCUAUUUGGUUGGGCUCAGCUUCAUUUAUACACUACGGGAGCAUGUGUUUGUAUGUGCUAUUUUGCUUUUUAAAUAAGAAAAGCUUAACUUGGAUGACUGCUUAAUUUAUCAGGUAAUUUAACUAUGGGUUUGACACUUAGUUUAACAAUGAUCGUGUAUCUGUUAUCGCAUCUUCAACCUUACAAGACAUUCUUCCCUGUUUAAGUUCAUGAUCCUUGGGGUUUGACUACUUUGCAUAGAAUGCUAUAUUUGUAUGACAUAAAAUUCUACUUACAUAUAUUCCUCUCCUGUGAGAGUGCUGCAAUUAACAUUCGGUCCUGUUUGCCAUUGUCAGCUAACCAGCAUGCAGUUUCAUGAGUAAGAUGUCAAAUGAUAAUGUUAUGUGGAAUAACGGGCAGAUNNN